CUACGUGCCAGCAGCCGCGGUAAUACGGAGGGUGCGAGCGUUAAUCGGAAUAACUGGGCGUAAAGGGCACGCAGGCGGUUAUUUAAGUGAGGUGUGAAAGCCCCGGGCUUAACCUGGGAAUUGCAUUUCAGACUGGGUAACUAGAGUACUUUAGGGAGGGGUAGAAUUCCACGUGUAGCGGUGAAAUGCGUAGAGAUGUGGAGGAAUACCGAUGGCGAAGGCAGCCUCCUGGGAUAACACUGACGUUCAUGCUCGAAAGCGUGGGUAGCAAACAGGAUUAGAUACCUUGGUAGUCCACGCCCUAAACGAUGUCAAUUAGCUGUUGGGCAACUUGAUUGCUUAGUAGCGUAGCUAACGCGUGAAAUUGACCGCCUGGGGAGUACGGUCGCAAGAUUAAAACUCAAAGGAAUUGACGGGGACCCGCACAAGCGGUGGAUGAUGUGGAUUAAUUCGAUGCAACGCGAAGAACCUUACCUGGUCUUGACAU
RNAcentral lists this ribosomal RNA (487 nucleotides) under uncultured bacterium. RNAcentral describes it as "bacterial SSU rRNA". It matches the Rfam family "Bacterial small subunit ribosomal RNA", at positions 501 to 987 of the family's 1533-position model. The record is from RNAcentral.